UAGCAAAAGCAUUGCCAAGGACUGAACAACAAAUGCAUUUGCCAUCUGCCUCUAGGAAGAUUGAACUCCAUGCUGGUAUAGCUGGUGACUUCAACAACCCCUGAGGGAGUUCAGGGUGGAGUGAGGCACUCUGUGCUCCAGGGAAUGUGGUGGGACAGGUCUUUAGAUAGUUAGAUGUUUUUAGGAACAGAUUUUAUUAUCUCAAUCCUUGAGAUCUCAAUCUCAAUCUCAUAUCUAGGAAGCACUAAAUCCCUUCAUGGUGACAUCAGAUCCUCAUGACUAACAGAAAUCUUUUGUAAAAUGAGUGCUUCAUGCUAUUGAACUCCCCCUUCACCAAAACCUUAUAUAUUGGCUUUCCCCCACUGCCACUUUGGAGUAGUCUCUCAGAGCUGAGAUGCUGCCUCCCAGGCUGCAGUCCUCAUUUUGCCCCAAGUAAAACUUAACUCACAACUCUCAAAUUGUACAUCUUUUUUAGUCGACAGUUAUGGUGACUGAUGAAGUGACCCAGUGGACUUCCUUCCUUCAACUGGACUCCACAAGGAACUGGAGCUUUGGUACCAGCAGCAGCCCCUUGUGCCCAUUUGCCUCCUCGGGGAGUGCAGAUGAAUUUAGAGGGAGAUGCCAUCUCUAUUGCCCAAGAUCGCUGGCUUGCAAACAUCCUGGAAAAGUGAGUCUAGAACAAAAGCAAACAAUGCCUCUACUCCAAAGAUGUGCAGACAUGUGAGAGAAACAUGAAACACGGUCCCCUACAAAGACAAACACAGAGUGGGUUUGAAGAGGAAAUAGGUGAAAAGGAGAGGGUAAGGGAAUCAUCCAUUUUAUCUGAAAGGAGCAGGAAGCUUGCUGAGGAUCCUCAUGAUUUCCAGUGUAAUAAAAAAUUUUCUUGGGCCUGAAAAA
Molecule: long non-coding RNA, 897 nt
Organism: Bubalus bubalis (water buffalo)
Lineage: Eukaryota; Metazoa; Chordata; Mammalia; Artiodactyla; Bovidae
Exons: 3
Source: RefSeq, a predicted model, not a curated record